GGCAAUCUGCCCUGCACUCUGGGACAAGCCCUGGAAACGGGGUCUAAUACCGGAUACUGAGCCACUUGGGCAUCCAAGUGGUUCGAAAGCUCCGGCGGUGCAGGAUGAGCCCGCGGCCUAUCAGCUUGUUGGUGAGGUAAUGGCUCACCAAGGCGACGACGGGUAGCCGGCCUGAGAGGGCGACCGGCCACACUGGGACUGAGACACGGCCCAGACUCCUACGGGAGGCAGCAGUGGGGAAUAUUGCACAAUGGGCGAAAGCCUGAUGCAGCGACGCCGCGUGAGGGAUGACGGCCUUCGGGUUGUAAACCUCUUUCAGCAGGGAAGAAGCGAAAGUGACGGUACCUGCAGAAGAAGCGCCGGCUAACUACGUGCCAGCAGCCGCGGUAAUACGUAGGGCGCAAGCGUUGUCCGGAAUUAUUGGGCGUAAAGAGCUCGUAGGCGGCUUGUCACGUCGGUUGUGAAAGCCCGGGGCUUAACCCCGGGUCUGCAGUCGAUACGGGCAGGCUAGAGUUCGGUAGGGGAGAUCGGAAUUCCUGGUGUAGCGGUGAAAUGCGCAGAUAUCAGGAGGAACACCGGUGGCGAAGGCGGAUCUCUGGGCCGAUACUGACGCUGAGGAGCGAAAG
Molecule: ribosomal RNA, 626 nt
Filed under: Streptomyces sp.
Lineage: Bacteria; Bacillati; Actinomycetota; Actinomycetes; Kitasatosporales; Streptomycetaceae
Description: bacterial SSU rRNA
Rfam family: Bacterial small subunit ribosomal RNA
Source: RNAcentral